GUUCGAGGUUGGAGUCGGUGGCCGAUUCGGCUCCGGUUUUUUGUUUUUCAACAGGCGGUGGGCCGCCUCCGGGCUCCAAAAACUGGGACUCGCACCGGCCCCAACUCGUUGCUGGGCCAGAGGUGGCCCGAGGUGAGAGCCCAGUACGUCAGGGGCUGGGGUUACAGUCCGACCGUCAACAGCGGAAACACAGAAGCGCCGUUUUUAAACAGCCGAGCGAGCAGCAGUAAUGUUCAGUGUUUGUGUUUUAAAAACCGGUAAAUAUAGAAGCAAAAUCCAAGCAGCAACGGUCUGAGGAGGAGACCCAAAGCUUCCUGGAACUGUGGUCUUCAUAUUAAAUUCAGUGGAAGUUAGAGGGAGCCUCUUGGACCACACCAGUGUUCGAAACAAUCCAGUGGGAGAUGGCUACAGCUGUACGAACGGAGCCUGACUAACUCCUCAACAACUAAAAAGUUCAGAAAUGACGACAAGAACCAGAAAAGGCAGCCGGGAUGCAGCAGUUUUUGGCCAAAAAGAGCCCCAAUUUUUUCCGGCUGCAUUCCGUGAUUCCAACCAGGUCCCUGAACGCAACAGCUGAGCAUUCCGUGAUUCCAACCGGGUCCCUGAACGCAACAGCUGAGCAGGAGUCGAUGCAGGCCGCAGUACCGAUCAUGAUAGUUGUCGGCCUAGGAUGAUGAGGUCCAAUUACCAGGAUCACUACUCUGCAGCUUACUGGUUCCGUCCUGCAGCUCCUUCAUGCUGUCCUCCUCGCUACAGACCAAAUCAAGAUAAAGGAACCAGGAUGCUACUGUGGAUCUGCUGCAGUAUCUGGGGAUGUCAGAGGAACGGUUCUUGAAACAGAUCUGAAGACACCGAGACCUGACCACUGCCCUGCUCCAGAACAUCCAGAGGACAGAUGAAAAUUCAAUCACCUUUGCUGGACUGAUGGGACGCAUGGUGUCGGUGCUGGAGCGACUGUCACAGAAAUAAACUGCAUUGUCCACUAUUCCUGCCUUUUAUUAGAAAAAGGCAGGAAUAUUUUUUAUAAAUUCUUUUCCUUCUUAGCUAUUUAAGUACACUGGUAUUUUACUCUUGCACUUUGGGUGAAUACAAAUAUAUUUGUGAUGAAAGAUGCGUGUUUUGUCUAUAAUCUACAGAGAUUUUAUUCAGUGUUAAGUGCACACUUCUACAUACACACAUUUUGACAGAUAAUCAGUUGUGCUUUUCAAGCAGAUUUCAUUCUGAAACAUAUCAGCAACAUACCGGUAUGUUGUUUAUUACAACAUAUGUCACACCAAGCUGGAUAAACUGCACUACUGCAGCAGAUAUAU
This is a long non-coding RNA of Acanthochromis polyacanthus (spiny chromis), 1310 nucleotides long. RefSeq lists it as uncharacterized. The record is from RefSeq and is a predicted model, not a curated record. Lineage: Eukaryota; Metazoa; Chordata; Actinopteri; Pomacentridae. The transcript is spliced from 3 exons.